UCUAGUCUGGCACUGUAAGGAGACAUGAGAGGUGUAGCAUAAGUGGGAGAUCCGCUCGCGGGUCGACAGUGAAAUACCACUACUUUCAUCGUUUCUUUACUUACUUGGUGAAGCGGAGGGCGUUCUUCGUUCCUUGCGUUCGAAGAUCGGUCUUCUUGAGCCAAGGUUGGAAGGUUCACUCCUUCCGGCCGAUCCGAUCCAAGGACACUGCCAGGCGGGGAGUUUGACUGGGGCGGUACAUCUGUCAAAGAAUAACGCAGGUGUCCUAAGGCCAGCUCAGCGAGGACAGAAACCUCGCGUAGAGCAAAAGGGCAAAAGCUGGCUUGAUCCCGAUGUUCAGUAAGCAUAGGGACUGCGAAAGCACGGCCCAUCGAUCCUUUUGACUUGGAGAGUUUCCAGCAAGAGGUGUCAGAAAAGUUACCACAGGGA
Molecule: ribosomal RNA, 429 nt
Filed under: Heterolepisma parvum
Lineage: Eukaryota; Metazoa; Arthropoda; Insecta; Zygentoma; Lepismatidae
Description: partial large subunit ribosomal RNA
Rfam family: Eukaryotic large subunit ribosomal RNA
Source: RNAcentral